AUCACCCUCCAUAUCGACGGCGACCUCCUUCUUCACCGAUCAACUUCAUCAGCCGUCACCUGUAUUUGUUUCGUAUGGACAGCCACGUGCUUCCCUUGAAGCAUUAACAAAAGUUGUCAGAGUCUGCUAGUAAGGUUAAUCUACCAUACUGAAUCGCAGGGUCCCCAGCCAUUUUCUAAACCAGAAGCAAAUCCACCCUAAUCCAGAAGGAAAAUCAUCCGAGUUACUACUGGUAAUGUCUACAACUUGUCCUUGUUUCAAAAGUCUCUUCCUUUUUUCUUUCCCUAUUGCAAAUUGCUUCAAAGUGUUUACCGUUGGUGGGCAGUGAUUGAAGCAGCAGCGCCUGAGCAAAAUGAAGACGAGUACUUUUGCCUUUGAUUCAAUGUGGAUUUUUUGGGGUAACAUCUGAUAAGCUUUCAUACAGUUAGUAUUUUCCAUUUCCAGUAAUAUGUGUUCUACGUUGCUUCCAAAACAUGUGGCUUCAAUCAUAAAGUACAAAAAGGACCCCCUGAAAGCAC
This 518-nucleotide long non-coding RNA is filed under the name Linum usitatissimum (flax). RNAcentral describes it as "long non-coding RNA (LUSI_LNC005423)". The record is from RNAcentral. Lineage: Eukaryota; Viridiplantae; Streptophyta; Magnoliopsida; Malpighiales; Linaceae.